GCCCGGGUGGCGUAGUCUGGUAACGCAUCGGCCUGUGGAGCCGAGGAUCCCGGGUUCAAAUCCCGGCCCGGGCC
Molecule: transfer RNA, 74 nt
Filed under: Thermoprotei archaeon
Lineage: Archaea; Thermoproteati; Thermoproteota; Thermoprotei
Also listed under: 1 other name
Description: tRNA-His
Rfam family: tRNA
About the family: Transfer RNA (tRNA) molecules are approximately 80 nucleotides in length.
Source: RNAcentral